GUAACUUUGCGUCCCACUUUUCGAGCGCUGAUGUUCAAUCUACGGUUGUAGUAAAUUAUGUCGUACACCGACAAUCGGGUAUGCCUGAUUGCGUGCCCGCUUUCUGUGUAGGACCCUAAAGCCCAAUAAAGCCCAUAGAGGCGGCAUCGGCAGUGUUCCGAGAAAUUGCGCUGUGAACGGGUACCCCGAGGGUGUUAGUGACAUCGUAAUGACAACGGGUGACAUCGUGUGUCGUGACCUUUGAGGGACAAUUUUCAAAAGUAAGAAAAUUCCUCUUAGAGACAUGAGCAGAAUCAUUCCCUUCAGUAUUCGUUACGAUGUCACUAAUACGCUGUAUAAAACUAACAUUACAAACAUACAGACACUGACAUUACAAAAAUCCCGUCUCCGGAUCGCUUUCGGUGCCGCUACAUAUAGGGUAUUUGAUAUUCCAAGACGCUUUUAUAGUUCGACAAAUCAAAUCAGAAUAAUUUACUUACGAGACGAAAUUAUAUUGUGCUCAGUAUAAUUCCACCUUAUUAGAAUUUACGUUUAUCACGUAUGACUUAGGGUUUAAACUUGCCUAGAUCAGACUUGGACAGUGCUUUAAAGCCUUUCUCUUCAUAAUGUUUAUUUGUCGUAUUUUAAAAGGGUAUCGUAGCUAUAUUAUUCUAACAGACGACAAUAAUAGUCAAAUAUCCUAUUCCGUUUUGUUCACGGAGGCAAUCGCUUGCGCCUGAAAUACUCUAUAAAAUAUUAGAUAAUUAUUUUUACACGAGCAAGCAAACCGUGAUAAAAUCUAUCAUUGGAGAUAUAUGGUAGCUGCGCGAUAAGUACCGCGGGUUUCAACCAAUAGACGCAGCGAAUGCUGUCUAUGUAGAUAAACUUCGUACAAGUGCUAGUCGAAGCCCGCGAUAGUCGUCACGCUGCGCGCGAUAGCGUAACCGUGCAGCCCACAGCAGGCUUAUCUUACGUUAUAUUUUAUCAUCGUUGCCCCUGUGAAUAGAACGACGUUAUACUUAAUAUAUUAUAUUAAAUACUAGAUAAUUAUCAUUCGAAUUAGCAAUGAAUUUGAGACUGAGAAUGAUGCAGGCUAUCACCACAGCGCAGCGUCGACUUUGAAACAUUGUUUUAAGUCACUAUUUAUAUAAAACGCGCAAUUUUAACGUCACUAGUAAUUAAAUUGCAAUCAUUUCUCUAAAAUAUAGAAUGUAAUUAUGUGAUAUUUAUAUGUUUAUGAUGAACUCAAUCGUAUAAGUAAACAGUGACGGGAGUAUAUUAUAAAAGGCUCAUUUAAUAGGAAAGGAUAUUAUUAUAAUGAAUUAAAUAAAUUAAUACUUAUUCUAAGUCCAAGUGAUAUGUUAAUUAUAGACCAAAGUUGCCUUUCAGUUAGACGCAAUCAGAAGAAACACUCAUUUAUAUAGGCAGCCCUAACCCCGAUGCACGGGUGACACUAUCUACGUACACGUGACAAAUAGUGCGGGCUUGAUCGAUAAUUGCAGCGUCAGUUGUCUAAGUAGAUAAAAGUGCCACAAGAAGUAAUGAUUCACAAUUCUAAUCCAGAUUGUGUCAUUCAUUUCCAUAUUGGAUUCUAAUCAUGACUUAGUCUGAUCCGUGAAUAAAAUAAAUAAAAAUUAAAUAGAAGUUUAUUCAACCACAAAUACAUUAACAAAGGAAACCGUAAGGUCCGGCAGAGGUUGGCGAUCUGAUCUUUUAUACUUGCUUAUAAGAUAUUGCUAAGAACAACAAUAGAUACUAUAACAGUUAAGAAUGCAAUAUAAUUGUUUCAAAAUAAAUUUUACUAAAAUAAAAUGUUUUAAUUCAUAAA
Long non-coding RNA from Pectinophora gossypiella (pink bollworm), 1807 nucleotides. RefSeq lists it as uncharacterized. The record is from RefSeq and is a predicted model, not a curated record. The transcript is spliced from 2 exons. NCBI's taxonomy places the organism in Eukaryota, Metazoa, Arthropoda, Insecta, Lepidoptera, Gelechiidae.